AAAAAAAGAUUGAGAGAAGAAAGAAAAAGAGACGAGAGAGUGAGGAGAGAAUGAGGGACUUAGAAUGAGGUGGAGAAAAAUGGGUAAAUAUGUCAUUGUUUUUUUUGUCUUGUAUUACUUUCUUAAUUUAUAAGUUUUUGUUAGUUAUUCUUGCAAAUUUCCCUUUUGUAAACUAUAUUUUUUUGUUUGCUUUAGUUUUUUCUUGUAGUUAUAGAAUGCAAUUAUUCUUCACGUUUUGAAGAUAUGUAAAACAUUUAUCCAUUUCCAAUGUUGCUUUUUUUUU
RNAcentral lists this small RNA (283 nucleotides) under Arabidopsis thaliana (thale cress). RNAcentral's name for it is "ATSL262580". The record is from RNAcentral. Lineage: Eukaryota; Viridiplantae; Streptophyta; Magnoliopsida; Brassicales; Brassicaceae.